This 604-nucleotide ribosomal RNA is filed under the name Pelagibius litoralis. RNAcentral's name for it is "bacterial SSU rRNA". It matches the Rfam family "Bacterial small subunit ribosomal RNA", at positions 64 to 704 of the family's 1533-position model. RNAcentral also lists the same sequence under 1 other name. The record is from RNAcentral. Lineage: Bacteria; Pseudomonadati; Pseudomonadota; Alphaproteobacteria; Rhodospirillales; Rhodovibrionaceae.
GAAGGAGAAGCACCUUUCGGGGUGUGGACACUGGCGCACGGGUGAGUAACGCGUGGGAAUCUACCCCGGGGUGGGGGAUAACCGCUGGAAACGGCGGCUAAUACCGCAUACGCCUUAAGAGGGAAAGCUUUAGCGCCCUGGGAUGAGCCCGCGUUAGAUUAGGUUGUUGGUGGGGUAAUGGCCUACCAAGCCUACGAUCUAUAGCUGGUCUGAGAGGAUGAUCAGCCACACUGGGACUGAGACACGGCCCAGACUCCUACGGGAGGCAGCAGUGGGGAAUAUUGGACAAUGGGGGCAACCCUGAUCCAGCCAUGCCGCGUGCGUGAAGAAGGCCUUAGGGUUGUAAAGCGCUUUCACUGGUGAAGAUGAUGACGGUAGCCAGAGAAGAAGCCCCGGCUAACUCCGUGCCAGCAGCCGCGGUAAUACGGAGGGGGCAAGCGUUGUUCGGAAUUACUGGGCGUAAAGGGCGCGUAGGCGGAACGUCAAGUUAGAGGUGAAAGGCCUGGGCUCAACCUAGGAACUGCCUUUAAAACUGACGAUCUAGAGUCCGGAAGAGGAUGGCGGAAUUCCCAGUGUAGAGGUGAAAUUCGUAGAUAUUGGGAAG